This 77-nucleotide transfer RNA is filed under the name Clostridiales bacterium. Its description in RNAcentral is "tRNA-Arg". It matches the Rfam family "tRNA". Rfam says of the family: Transfer RNA (tRNA) molecules are approximately 80 nucleotides in length. Their secondary structure includes four short double-helical elements and three loops (D, anti-codon, and T loops). RNAcentral also lists the same sequence under 1 other name. The record is from RNAcentral. Lineage: Bacteria; Bacillati; Bacillota; Clostridia; Eubacteriales.
GCGCUCGUAGCUCAACUGGAUAGAGUGUCUGACUACGGAUCAGAAGGCUGCGGAUUCGACUUCUGCCGGGCGCGCCA